This 498-nucleotide ribosomal RNA is filed under the name uncultured bacterium. RNAcentral describes it as "partial 16S ribosomal RNA". It matches the Rfam family "Bacterial small subunit ribosomal RNA", at positions 28 to 523 of the family's 1533-position model. The record is from RNAcentral.
GAUGAACGCUAGCGGCAGGCCUAAUACAUGCAAGUCGAACGAUAGAAGAGAGCUUGCUCUCUUCGAAAGUGGCGCACGGGUGCGUAACGCGUAUGCAACCUACCUUAAUCAGGGGGAUAGCCCGAAGAAAUUCGGAUUAACACCGCAUAAAAUCACAGUACAGCAUUGUACAAUGAUCAAAUAUUUAUAGGAUUAAGAUGGGCAUGCGUGACAUUAGCUAGUUGGCGGGGUAACGGGCCACCAAGGCGACGAUGGCUAGGGGAUCUGAGAGGAUGACCCCCCACACUGGGACUGAGACACGGACCAGACUCCUACGGGAGGCAGCAGUAAGGAAUAUUGGUCAAUGGAGGCAACUCUGAACCAGCCAUGCCGCGUGCAGGAAGACGGCCCUCUGGGUUGUAAACUGCUUUUAUUCGGGAAUAAACCUCAUUACGUGUAGUGAGCUGAAUGUACCGAAGGAAUAAGGAUCGGCUAACUCCGUGCCAGCAGCCGCCGUAA